UACAUGGCCUGCUGAUGCAUAGAGC
This 25-nucleotide non-coding RNA is filed under the name Mus musculus (house mouse). Lineage: Eukaryota; Metazoa; Chordata; Mammalia; Rodentia; Muridae. The record is from RNAcentral.